AAUAACUGACAGGGUGUCUCUCCUAUGUUAAUUGUUAACUCAAAGGACUGCCCUAGGACAUUGAAAAUGCCCCUGCUGUUAACUGUUUAUUGCAGAGGAAGGAGGGGGAGACAUAAUCCUCCCUCUUCAGAUCCCAGAAAGCAUGGAUUGAAAAAAGAAAGCUAAGAAAUGAAUUUUCACAGAGAAAAUGCACACUACCGAUCAAAAAGACCCUAAUACCACCCCUUAUACUUCAUGGCACUUUAAGAAAUUCAGCAUUUUGACCAAGUAAUGGUCCUCUCCUGCUGUUGCACUGAGGAAAAGAAGUGAGAAGCUAAAAGAACCAGAGCAGAAUCAAAGUGGGAAUGAAGAUGAACAGUGAUAACACCAGAGUUGGUUUUCUCUUGCCUCCCUGAGGCAAGUACUGUCCCAGUGUCCCGUGAUGCUGUGAGAUGUGGAACACAACCAAACCCUCCAGCCACUUCAAUUGUAACUGGACAAACAAGCACAGUGAUUUCACCUGUGUUUCUCUAACAGACAUCAUACAUUCAAUAGAGCAUAACUAGAUUCCAAGAGACCUUCUGCUGAUGUCACUAGGACUUUUCUCAGAAGUAAGGACUAAAUAGGAAAACAAGACUGACCCAAGGAGCAAAAGCUGUACAUGAAUUUAAAUAGGAACUGAUGACUAUAAAAUAUGUAGACUUGAGGAAAGACAAAAAAAAGGAAAAAAGAAGGUGGUAGAAUAUGUUUGGAAGCAUACACCAAAUGACAGAAACGUACCACAAUAAAUGAAAGAAGCUUAAGCCUGUUACCAGUAGCAAAAUAGAAAGUGUACUUUCUUUUCUACCAGUCAUGCUAUAGCAACCAAUAAAUCAAAGCAGAUAAAAUGUCAUACAAGGUCUGCACUGAUUUAUUUCUUUGAUUUGUUAUGUUUUAGAAAAUAGCCAUCCACAAAUAAACCCAAAUCAAGUCUGCUGUUGCUCUUCAUCAGCAGGAGGGCGGAAUGUAAGAUUGGGAGUUUUUCAGAUGUUAUUUCCCUGCAAUGCCGGUGGUCUUAGGAUCCUGCCCUCUUUAAACUCUUUGCGCAAGCCAGACCAGCAUAACAGAGACUGGGAAGAAUUAACACCAUUACAAUAGUAAGAGUCCAGAGCAUUAUUGGGUACACCUAAAGAAACGGAUCAUAUUUCUAAGUUACGUUGAAUAAUAAGAAUAUUUCAUGGCAAUGUGUAGAAUCAGUUUAAACAAAAAACACCAGUCACCAUAAAGUUGUCCACAGACUGGAUGAAAAUGUAACACAUAAGAACAUGAAAUUGAGCUAAGCAAAAAAAGCAUAACCAGGACUUUUGAAAACCUUCUUUAAGACCAACAUUUAAUUUACAGAGCACAGAGAUACUGCAUUUAUCUCUUAAUUAUCUGCUUAUGAAAGCUUGAUUCUGCCUGACUUCAGCAUAUGCAAUUCCCACCACUAACAAUGCAGAGCUGUGAGCAUAUACUGAAAGAACAGGCAGUAUUGUAAAUAAAAUAUUGAUAGAAAUGUUCAGCUUUCUAAUCAUUUUCCCCCUCAAGAUACUAAGUUUUAUGAAAUUCUUUAAUUGCCUAUAUUCAUUCUUGGAUAUAUGGCAGGUUUAGGGACUGUAAAAAUAUAAAACUAAGGAAAUUAAACUCUUGAGCAUAAACCAUGUGUGCCAAGGUUGUAAGAAUGAUAUAAAAGAUAACCACUGUGUACAAGUGCCUUACAGUACCACCAUAACUUUUGGGGCCGUCGCUUGCGUUCUAAGUGUGUACUUCUUUCUAGCAGCACAUGCAAGUUAUGCUGAAGCAGCACUGCUUGUUAUGUGCACUAUGUGACU
Neopsephotus bourkii (Bourke's parrot) is the source of this 1829-nucleotide long non-coding RNA. RefSeq lists it as uncharacterized. The transcript has 4 exons. NCBI's taxonomy places the organism in Eukaryota, Metazoa, Chordata, Aves, Psittaciformes, Psittacidae. The record is from RefSeq and is a predicted model, not a curated record.